This is a long non-coding RNA of Alosa sapidissima (American shad), 1237 nucleotides long. RefSeq lists it as uncharacterized. The transcript has 3 exons. NCBI's taxonomy places the organism in Eukaryota, Metazoa, Chordata, Actinopteri, Clupeiformes, Clupeidae. The record is from RefSeq and is a predicted model, not a curated record.
AUCAGCCUAAUUACUUGGCAAUCCCCCUGAUUAGCAGCUGCUGCCCUAAUACCUUUAAAAGACCUAGAAGUACCGGUGAGUGACUGCGCUGUAAUUCUUGCUCCCCUUCCGUUGAGAAUGCUCCCUGUCUAGCGUGGUAGGUGUCUUUUCUUAGUGGGUUGUGUUGGCUUUCCACACUUUAUGUUUAUGGGCUUACCUUUUGUCUUGUAGCCUCGUAACUGCUGUUUGCCUCCUCCACCACUCCUGUUGAGGGUAUUUCUAUUUCCUGCCAGCUCAGUGCGGAUCUGUGACCUCACCGUAUCUGGAGCGGGUGCGUGUAGCCUGGUUGACUGGAAUGCCGGACUUCACAGGCGCUGCUGUUUUGUCUGAUGAUCGAUUGCUGUCUAGUGUUUGUCUCGUUGUCUUGCUUGUAACUGGUGACUAUUUUGUGAGUUUUAUUUUGUUUGUUUGCUCCGUCUUUGUCCAGUCGCGUAUUGUCUGCGUCUGCUUUCGUAUACUCUGUGUCUUUAUUUUGGGUUUUCUUUUGGUUUUGUUGGUGAAGCUACCUAUAACAUCUACUGCUUGAAGCUGCCUAAUUAUAACAUCUAGGCUACUGCAUGUUGCCAGUGUUUCCCGUGCGCUGUCGCAUGAUUAGUAUCGCUCUCAGUUUUGUUUGCAUGUGAUUGUGUAUGCUGUCGCUUUGCAUGAUUUAAGCUUUGUCAGUGUUAGUGUUGCCGUCUUCAGUGUAUUGUGGUUGUGUCCUUUUUGGUUGAUUUAUUGCUAUCCUCUGGUGCCUUAAUUGUUUUGUUUGUUUGUUUGUUUGUUUGUUUGUUUGUUUGGCAGGUCGGGGCGCUCCUAAGGGGAGCUAGGCACCUGGUGGUGGGACCCUAUCACUGCAUGUUUGCUGUGCUUUAUUGUGCUGUGUGUUGCUGUGCUGUGCUGUGCGGUUCAGUGUACUGCUUACUGCAGCCUGCGUUAUAGAGAAACUCACUUCACUCCGAGUGUGUGUGCACGUGUGUUUGGUGUGAAUCUUGGAACACAUCAUCAGUAGCGUGCCUCCCUUGGGUAAGCUCCCUCCUAGCUGCAUUUAUUGAGUUCUGUGGACGUUUGGUCCCUCAAAUGCCUAGACUCCAAUGUAUGAUCUAUAAGAUCUGAUUUUAAGAACUUGUCAUACAACAAUAUUUAAUAAAUAUAUAUUUAUGUAUUGUCUUUAACCAUUGUGAGUCUUUUAGGUUUUCCCAGCAUAAGAGAUCUGCAG